RNAcentral lists this ribosomal RNA (770 nucleotides) under uncultured bacterium. Its description in RNAcentral is "bacterial SSU rRNA". It matches the Rfam family "Bacterial small subunit ribosomal RNA", at positions 91 to 842 of the family's 1533-position model. The record is from RNAcentral.
GUGCAUGGCAGACGGGUGAGUAACGCGUGGGGAAUCUACCUCUUUGUGGGGAAUAACGCUCCGAAAGGAGUGGUAAUACCGCAUGAGAUCCAUGGCUGGAAUGUUGUGGAUGAAACCUGGGGACCUUCGGGCCUGGGGCAAGGAGAGGAUCCUGCGUCUGAUUAGCUAGUUGGUGAGGUAAUGGCCCACCAAGGCGACGAUCAGUAGCCGGCCUGAGAGGGUGAUCGGCCACACUGGAACUGAGACACGGUCCAGACUCCUACGGGAGGCAGCAGUGGGGAAUUUUGCGCAAUGGGCGAAAGCCUGACGCAGCAACGCCGCGUGGGUGAUGAAGGUCUUCGGAUCGUAAAACCCUGUCGUCGGGGACGAAGGUGGAGGGGUUAAUAGCCUCUUUGCUUGACGGUACCCGGAGAGGAAGCCCCGGCUAACUCUGUGCCAGCAGCCGCGGUAAUACAGAGGGGGCAAGCGUUAUUCGGAAUUAUUGGGCGUAAAGGGCGCGUAGGCGGCUUUUUAAGUGAGAUGUGUAAUCCCUGAGCUCAACUUGGGAACUGCAUCUCAUACUGGGAGGCUAGAGUACUGGAGAGGGUGGUAGAAUUCCACGUGUAGCGGUGAAAUGCGUAGAGAUGUGGAGGAAUACCAGUGGCGAAGGCGGCCACCUGGACAGUAACUGACGCUGAGGCGCGAAAGUGUGGGUAGCAAACAGGAUUAGAUACCCUGGUAGUCCACACUGUAAACGAUGAACACUUGGUGUGGAGGGAGUUGACCCCUUC